This 292-nucleotide non-coding RNA is filed under the name Microtus ochrogaster (prairie vole). The record is from RNAcentral. Lineage: Eukaryota; Metazoa; Chordata; Mammalia; Rodentia; Cricetidae.
GCUACUCGGGUUCCUCCCGAUGUUGAUGCCUCCUUGAUGGCUCAAGUCCAGAUGUUUUAGGCUACAGUGCACUAUGCAGUGCACUAUGCAGAUUGGAUGACCACACACAUUCAUGUUUGGCAUAAAUAUGACUGGCAAUCCCCACGGAACAUGGGGACCCACCAGUUUGCCUAAGGAGGGGUGAACUGGCCCAGGUCAGAAAUGGAGCAGGUCAAAACUCUCGAGUUAAUCAGUAGUGGGUGAUACCCGUGAAAAGCCACUGUACUCCAGCCCAGGCAACACAGGGAUUUUU